CACAAGCGGUGGAGCAUGUGGUUUAAUUCGAUGCAACGCGAAGAACCUUACCUGGGCUUGACAUCCCGGGAAUCCCUUGGAAACAAGGGAGUGCCCUUCGGGGAACCUGGAGACAGGUGCUGCAUGGCUGUCGUCAGCUCGUGUCGUGAGAUGUAGGGGUUAAGUCCCGCAACGAGCGCAACCCUUGUCUUUAAUUGCCAUCAUUGAGUUGGGCACUUUAAAGAGACUGCCGGUGUUAAACCGGAGGAAGGUGGGGAUGACGUCAAGUCCUCAUGGCCCUUAUGGGUAGGGCUUCACACGUCAUACAAUGGUCGGUACAGAGGGUUGCCAAGCCGCGAGGCGGAGCCAAUCCCACAAAGCCGAUCGUAGUCCGGAUUGUUCUCUGCAACUCGAGAGCAUGAAGUCGGAAUCGCUAGUAAUCGCAGGUCAGCAUACUGCGGUGAAUACGUUCCCGGGUCUU
RNAcentral lists this ribosomal RNA (460 nucleotides) under uncultured Gallionellaceae bacterium. Its description in RNAcentral is "bacterial SSU rRNA". It matches the Rfam family "Bacterial small subunit ribosomal RNA", at positions 924 to 1382 of the family's 1533-position model. The record is from RNAcentral. Lineage: Bacteria; Pseudomonadati; Pseudomonadota; Betaproteobacteria; Nitrosomonadales; Gallionellaceae.